Molecule: non-coding RNA, 72 nt
Organism: Pangasius djambal
Lineage: Eukaryota; Metazoa; Chordata; Actinopteri; Siluriformes; Pangasiidae
Source: the annotation of a GenBank genome assembly
CUAAUGGAGGACUAGUGGUUAGGCCUCGGUGCUCUCAUCACCGUGGCCUGGGUUCGAUUCCCGGCCAGGAAA